Molecule: ribosomal RNA, 351 nt
Filed under: Deltaproteobacteria bacterium
Lineage: Bacteria; Pseudomonadati; Myxococcota; Myxococcia
Description: bacterial SSU rRNA
Rfam family: Bacterial small subunit ribosomal RNA
Source: RNAcentral
UUUUUCGAGAGUUUGAUCCUGGCUCAGAACGAACGCUGGCGGCGUGCUUAACACAUGCAAGUCGUACGAGAAAGUCUCUUCGGAGAUGAGUAAAGUGGCGCACGGGUGAGUAACACGUAGGUAACCUACCUCAGGGACCGGGACAACCUACCGAAAGGUGGGCUAAUACCGGAUCAGACCACGGGGGCUUCGGCCCCAGCGGCAAAAGUUGGCCUCUGCGUGCAAGCUAACACCAUGAGAUGGGCCUGCGGACCAUUAGCUUGUUGGUGGGGUAAUGGCCUACCAAGGCUGAGAUGGAUAGCUGGUCUGAGAGGAUGAUCAGCCACACUGGGACUGAGACACGGCCCAGAC